RNAcentral lists this microRNA (21 nucleotides) under Macaca mulatta (Rhesus monkey). RNAcentral describes it as "mml-miR-581". Its record names the gene mml-miR-581. Lineage: Eukaryota; Metazoa; Chordata; Mammalia; Primates; Cercopithecidae. The record is from miRBase by way of RNAcentral.
UCUUGUGUUCUGUAGAUCAGU